RNAcentral lists this ribosomal RNA (417 nucleotides) under uncultured bacterium. RNAcentral describes it as "bacterial SSU rRNA". It matches the Rfam family "Bacterial small subunit ribosomal RNA", at positions 355 to 786 of the family's 1533-position model. The record is from RNAcentral.
UGGGGAAUAUUGCACAAUGGGGGAAACCCUGAUGCAGCGACGCCGCGUGAAGGAAGAAGUAUCUCGGUAUGUAAACUUCUAUCAGCAGGGAAGAAAAUGACGUACCUGACUAAGAAGCCCCGGCUAACUACGUGCCAGCAGCCGCGGUAAUACGUAGGGGGGCAAGCGUUAUCCGGAUUUACUGGGUGUAAAGGGAGCGUAGACGGAGCAGCAAGUCUGAUGUGAAAAGGCGGGGGCUCAACCCCCGGACUGCAUUGGGAAACUGUUCGAUCUUGAGUACCGGAGAGGUAAGCGGAAUUCCUAGUGUAGCGGUGAAAUGCGUAGAUAUUAGGAGGAACACCAGUGGCGAAGGCGGCUUACUGGACGGUAACUGACGUUGAGGCUCGAAAGCGUGGGGAGCAAACAGGAUUAGAUACC